Molecule: ribosomal RNA, 476 nt
Filed under: uncultured Candidatus Scalindua sp.
Lineage: Bacteria; Pseudomonadati; Planctomycetota; Candidatus Brocadiia; Candidatus Brocadiales; Candidatus Scalinduaceae
Description: bacterial SSU rRNA
Rfam family: Bacterial small subunit ribosomal RNA
Source: RNAcentral
UUCGCAAUGCCCGAAAGGGUGACGAAGCGACGCCGCGUGGGUGAGGAAGGCCCUCGGGUUGUAAAGCCCUGUCAGGAGUUAAGAAGUGUAAGUGUGCUAAUACCACAUUUAUUUGACGAAGGCUCCAAAGGAAGCCACGGCUAACUCUGUGCCAGCAGCCGCGGUAAUACAGAGGUGGCAAGCGUUGUUCGGAAUUAUUGGGCGUAAAGAGCACGUAGGUGGGUUUGUAAGUCAGAUGUGAAAGCCUUCUGUUCAACGGAAGAAUUGCAUCUGAAACUGCGAAUCUUGAGUGUAGGAGGGGAGAAUGGAACUUCUGGUGGAGCGGUGAAAUGCGUAGAUAUCAGAAGGAACGCCGGCGGCGAAAGCGGCUCUCUGGUCUGUUACUGACGCUGAGGCGCGAAAGCUAGGGGAGCAAACGGGAUUAGAUACCCCGGUAGUCCUAACUGUAAACGAUGGGCACUAAGUAGAGGGGUUUU